Molecule: long non-coding RNA, 857 nt
Filed under: Trifolium pratense (red clover)
Lineage: Eukaryota; Viridiplantae; Streptophyta; Magnoliopsida; Fabales; Fabaceae
Description: long non-coding RNA (TPRA_LNC007246)
Source: RNAcentral
UAAAAGAGUAAGGAAUGGUUUUAAAUUGGUGCGACACACGACUUUGUGGACAAUUUAGAACUCAAGGAACAAUCACAUAAUUAAUAAUGUGAGAAAGAAUCCUAAUGAAAUAAUGAGAGGAAAUAAAAAUAAUAACUUGGCGAUGGAGCGCGGAGAGGUUAAAGAUUGCCAUUUGCCUGUUGUAUGAAUGGAUUUGGGACCCUGGUGACUGUUUUCAAUGAUAACAAAAGAUGUUUUUCUGCUGGGGCUGUUGGUACAGUGGGGCGUUGAGUUAUUUUUUUGUUCCCUGUUGGCUGUAUUUCGCUGUGUUAUUAUCGAAUAGGGACCCUGCUUUCUGUUUAUGCGGGUUUGUUACUUGGUUUAGGAAGGACCUAGGAUGUUAAUAGCGGCGCUAUAAGCGUUUUACCACCUCUCUGCUAUGCUAUAAGACUGCUUUCCGCUAUUUAAAGAAGCGGAAAUAGCGGCCGCUAUUUGCAGGAAAAUAGCGUUUUGUUAGCGGUGGCGUAGCGUUCUGGUAGCGCUAUUUGGCCGCUUUAGCGUUUUGGAGGGAAAAAAAUUGAUGAAAAUCUUUAUUUUGGAAAUAAAUCAUAAGUGAGGGGUAUUUUGCAUUUUUUCACACAUCAAAAAGCUACCAACACAUCACAACACGUGAUUUACUUUUCUAUUUGAGUUGUUUCUUCUUUCUUUUCUCACAUCACGCUCUUCUCCUCUUCUCCUCUUCUCCUCUUCUCCUUCACCAAAUCGACUCCUCUGUUUCCUUUCUCCAAAUCAACUGCUCUUCUCCUCUUCUUACAAGGUUUGUUCCUUUCUCAAACCUUAAUGUGGUGGAGCUUAGAAGUGAAGUUGAGGCAGAAGCA